AACGAACGCUGGCGGCAGGCCUAACACAUGCAAGUCGAGCGAGGACUUCGGUCCUAGCGGCGGACGGGGGAGUAACGCGGGGGAACGUGCCCUUUGCUUCGGAAUAGCCCUGGGAAACUGGGAGUAAUACCGGAUGAGCCCCUCGGGGGAAAGAUUUAUCGGCGAAGGAUCGGCCCGCGUUGGAUUAGGUAGUUGGUGGGGUAAUGGCCUACCAAGGCGACGAUCCAUAGCUGGUUUGAGAGGAUGAUCAGCCACACUGGGACUGGGACACGGCCCAGACUCCUACGGGAGGCAGCAGUGGGGAAUCUUAGACAAUCGGGGGAACCCUGAUCUAGCCAUGCCGCGUGAGCGAUGAAGGCCUUAGGGUUGUAAAGCUCUUUAAGCUGGGAAGAUAAUGACGGUACCAGCAGAAGAAGCCCCGGCUAACUCCGUG
This 433-nucleotide ribosomal RNA is filed under the name uncultured bacterium. RNAcentral's name for it is "partial 16S ribosomal RNA". It matches the Rfam family "Bacterial small subunit ribosomal RNA", at positions 29 to 507 of the family's 1533-position model. The record is from RNAcentral.